AAAGAGGACGUUUGCCCCUUCGGGGUAUACCUCCCCACCCCUUUGUUUUAUUAUACCUUUUGUUUGCUUUGGCGGGGCCCGUUCCCUCGGACCCACCGGCUUUUCUGCUGGGUCAGUGCCCCGCCCAGAGGACCCUAAAAACUCUGUUUUGUUUAAUAUUGUCCUGAGUACUAUAUAAUAGUUUAAA
RNAcentral lists this unclassified non-coding RNA (187 nucleotides) under soil metagenome. RNAcentral describes it as "partial internal transcribed spacer 1". The record is from RNAcentral.